AACGAACGCUGGCGGCAUGCCUAACACAUGCAAGUCGAACGAGACCCCUGACUUCGGUCGGCGGGUCUAGUGGCGCACGGGUGCGUAACGCGUGGGAAUCUGCCCUUGGGUUCGGAAUAACUCAGAGAAAUUUGAGCUAAUACCGGAUGAUGACGAAAGUCCAAAGAUUUAUCGCCCAGGGAUGAGCCCGCGUAAGAUUAGCUUGUUGGUGGGGUAAUGGCCUACCAAGGCGACGAUCUUUAGCUGGUCUGAGAGGAUGAUCAGCCACACUGGGACUGAGACACGGCCCAGACUCCUACGGGAGGCAGCAGUGGGGAAUAUUGGACAAUGGGCGCAAGCCUGAUCCAGCAAUGCCGCGUGAGUGAUGAAGGCCUUAGGGUUGUAAAGCUCUUUUACCAGGGAUGAUAAUGACAGUACCUGGAGAAUAAGCUCCGGCUAACUCCGUG
RNAcentral lists this ribosomal RNA (446 nucleotides) under uncultured bacterium. RNAcentral's name for it is "bacterial SSU rRNA". It matches the Rfam family "Bacterial small subunit ribosomal RNA", at positions 29 to 507 of the family's 1533-position model. The record is from RNAcentral.